This 329-nucleotide unclassified non-coding RNA is filed under the name soil metagenome. Its description in RNAcentral is "partial contains 5.8S ribosomal RNA, internal transcribed spacer 2, and large subunit ribosomal RNA". The stretch from base 1 to 120 matches the Rfam family "5.8S ribosomal RNA", at positions 35 to 154 of the family's 154-position model. The record is from RNAcentral.
GAUGAAGAACGUAGCGAAAUGCGAUAAGUAAUGUGAAUUGCAGAAUUCAGUGAAUCAUCGAAUCUUUGAACGCACAUUGCGCCCCUUGGUAUUCCGAGGGGCAUGCCUGUUCGAGCGUCAUUAUAACCCCUCAAGCUCAGCUUGGUGUUGGGGCCUGCUGCACUGGCAGCCCUUAAAAUCAGUGGCGGCGCCAUCUGGCUCUAAGCGUAGUAAUUCUUCUCGCUAUGGAGUCCUGGUGGAUGCUUGCCAACAACCCCCAAUUUUUCUAUGGUUGACCUCGGAUCAGGUAGGGAUACCCGCUGAACUUAAGCAUAUCAAUAAGCGGAGGA